Long non-coding RNA from Sciurus carolinensis (gray squirrel), 2277 nucleotides. RefSeq lists it as uncharacterized. Lineage: Eukaryota; Metazoa; Chordata; Mammalia; Rodentia; Sciuridae. The record is from RefSeq and is a predicted model, not a curated record. The transcript has 4 exons.
CCGCCCCGCGCGCGCCAGGCUUUCCCGCCGCGGUACCCUGGUCCGCACCCCGCGCCCGUCUGGAGUGCUCCAGUCGGCCCCGGGGCUGGGCCAGGCAGCCUGGGAGCCGAUCCACAUCUUCCCCUCGAUGGCGAGGCAGUCGAUUUACCCAGAGCCACCCAGCGACAGUGCGCUAGAGCCAGGACGGAACCGGGGGGCUUGGCCUCUGGAGCGAGGGCUGCAGCCCCAGGGCAGCCGCCCAGCGGCUCCACACGGAACCCUCACCAGGCCUUUGUGGUUUACCACCCUGAGCCGACUCUGCCCCGAUGUUAAGUGACCCCAUCCCUGUUUCACAGUCGCCCUGGGAGACCUGCUUCUGACCUCUUAGAGAAGAGCAAACGGAAGUCUGGGAGGUGGCUAGUGACUUGGAAUCUCUCAGCUCUACCGAGAGCUGGUGAAGCCAGGGGUCCAGACACCCAGCCUGGUGUAUUUCAGACAAGAGGCUGCAAAGUGGGGUAUGGAGCCUGCCAGCAACUCAGUCAUGCAGGUCCUCUGUCUUGUUGCCUGGAGGCCGGAGCUCCAGCCCAUAUCUCCUGAGAAAUGGGAAGACACGAAAGCUGCGAUGUUGGCUGCAUUUAAUUAAAAUAUGCUAUCCGUCUUUUCAAAAAAAAAAUAAUAAUUAAGAGUUUGUGUUGGAUUUGACAAAACUAAUCCUAUUUAAUAUCAUCAUUUUUUUUCCCCCUUUAACUUAGACAACCCCACAAUACAGGUCUCAUCUGAUUGUUGUGACUGAAAGACAGAGAGGCCUUGCCUUGUUCAUGGUCUUAUUACUGUACCCCCGGUGCCUGGGUCUCAGAUGUUCAAAAACUUUUUUUGAAUGAAUGAACUGACUUACGGGUGGGGAAUCUGAGAUUUAGGACUUACUGAAGUAAAGGUCGCUGUAAUAGUGACAGAGCUGAGGCUCAAAAUAAUGUUUUCUGACACAGAAGCGGAGGCCCUUUGUAAUUCCAUACUAUCUCAGGAUCAGAUUGUUCAAACUGAAGAAGGGGACCUCAAAUACCACCAAGUCCAUCCCGAUGACCUCCCAGUGAAGAUAUGAGCUGGAAGCUUUGCCAACACACAGCUCCUUGUUUUAGUUUGGAUGACUACAUUCAAGACGACAGUGAUCAUGAUGAUUCUGGCAAGAACAGGACAGAGGUGGUGCUGCAUACGUACUGUGUCUUAGCAGGAGAUCCAGAAUGUUUGGUCCUACUUUUGGUGAUGUUAAGAUUGAUGGUGCUGAGCACAGUGGUGCACAUCUGUAAUCCCAGUGGCUUGUGAGGCUGAGGCAGGAGGAUGAAACAAAACAAAACAGAAAAGAAAAAAGAUUGAUUGAUGGAGUCUCUCUUUUCCUGGCAAUCGUGGAAGUUUGAACAUAACCAGGGUAUUAGAUGAAGUUCUCUGCGUGGGCUUACUCUGGCCAGCUUUUCCUAUGUGAUGCCAAGAUGGCUGCUACCAGUGCUGUGAUGACAUCCCUAUAGCUUACUAACCCACAUGGAAAGAGAGCUGCCUUUGCUCAGCAGCUCCAAGAUGCUUCUGUUUUGGGUUGCACAGACUUGAAUCAAGCAUCCAUCCCUGAGCCAGUGCUUUGGCUGGGGAAGCAGGGACCGUGUGCCUCCCCCAGAUCCCUUCCUGAACCUCAUGGACGGUCACUGAGGAAAGGUUGAUUCCCCCAAGUCAAAUUCAGGUGCUGCCACCAGUAAUGAUGUGCUGGUGAGAAGCUGGGCUGGCAGCGGUCAGUCAGGCAAAUGCCCAUCCAGUGCCCUCAUGGGGAGGCAUUGGCUCCUACCCAAACACUGUGAGCUGGGUGGCAGGGUCUUCGCCACCUACCACGGAUCUCAUUCUCUCUCUUGUGUUCUAUGGACAUCUGCUUCUCAGAACUUCCACCCACUGGCCCCUUGUCUGUCCGCUGCAGCCGCCCAUGUCCGCCAUCCCCUUCCCACGCUGCAGACCAACUGGCAUUUGAAAGCAGCCAGAAUCUGUCCCAGCUUUCUCUCUUCAGGCCUGUCAGCCUCGCUGGGUCUUUCAGGUCCUUUACUAGUGUGCUGGUGCUCUGUGUGGGCACAAGAUCCUCCAGGGCUGAAGACAGUGUGUACCUGUUUCUUCAUCUGUAAAUUGAAGAUAGCAUCUGCCAUUUAGAGUCUGUUGUAAGGAUUAAGUGAGCAUGGUAUAGCCAGGCACAGUGGCACAUGCCUGUAAUCCCAGCGACUUGGGAGACUGAGGCAGGAGGAUUACAAGUUCAAGGCCAGCCUGGGCAAC